AUAAUGAGACUUCCGUCCGGGAUUCCGGGCGGCUCGGUGAGAACCACGGAGGGGUUAGAUUCCCAUGG
Regulatory RNA element from Clostridium sp. SY8519, 68 nucleotides. It matches the Rfam family "pemK RNA". The record is from Rfam. Lineage: Bacteria; Bacillati; Bacillota; Clostridia; Eubacteriales; Clostridiaceae.